UACGUAGGGUGCAAGCGUUAAUCGGAAUUACUGGGCGUAAAGCGUGCGCAGGCGGUUAUGUAAGACAGAUGUGAAAUGCCCGGGCUUAACCUGGGAACUGCAUUUGUGACUGCAUGGCUAGAGUGUGUCAGAGGGGGGGUAGAAUUCCACGUGUAGCAGUGAAAUGCGUAGAUAUGUGGAGGAAUACCGAUGGCGAAGGCAGCCCCCUGGGAUAACACUGACGCUCAUGCACGAAAAGCGUGGGGAGCAAACAGG
This 255-nucleotide ribosomal RNA is filed under the name uncultured bacterium. Its description in RNAcentral is "partial 16S ribosomal RNA". It matches the Rfam family "Bacterial small subunit ribosomal RNA", at positions 524 to 776 of the family's 1533-position model. The record is from RNAcentral.